UCCCGCGGGCUGCAUGGCCUGCGGGGGAAAGGGUUUCCGGUAGGGGAUGGGCAUGCGGCGCAUUAGCUAGUUGGCGGGGCAACGGCCCACCAAGGCGACGAUGCGUAGGGGUUCUGAGAGGAAGGUCCCCCACACUGGUACUGAGACACGGACCAGACUCCUACGGGAGGCAGCAGUGAGGAAUAUUGGUCAAUGGGCGCAGGCCUGAACCAGCCAAGUCGCGUGAGGGAAGACGGUCCUACGGAUUGUAAACCUCUUUUGUCGGGGAGCAAAGGGGCCAUUCAUGGCAGGAUGAGCGUACCGAAGAAAAAGCAUCGGCUAACUCCGUG
This 329-nucleotide ribosomal RNA is filed under the name uncultured bacterium. RNAcentral's name for it is "bacterial SSU rRNA". It matches the Rfam family "Bacterial small subunit ribosomal RNA", at positions 173 to 507 of the family's 1533-position model. The record is from RNAcentral.